UACGAGAGGCCCAAACGUUAUUCGGAAUUACUGGGCUUAAAGAGUUCGUAGGCGGCAUUGCAAGUAGGGUGUGAAAGCCCUCGGCUCAACCGAGGAAUUGCGCUCUAAACUGCAGUGCUUGAGGAACCUAGAGGUGAGCAGAACAGAUGGUGGAGCGGUGAAAUGCGUUGAUAUCAUCUGGAAUACCGGAGGCGAAGGCGGCUCACUGGGAGUUUUCUGACGCUGAGGAACGAAAGCCAGGGUAGCGAGCGGG
Molecule: ribosomal RNA, 253 nt
Filed under: uncultured bacterium
Lineage: Bacteria
Description: partial 16S ribosomal RNA
Rfam family: Bacterial small subunit ribosomal RNA
Source: RNAcentral